GACGGAGUGGAAAAGCAUGACCAGAAAACAUUUCAACGGAAAAGAAAAAAGGGUAUGAACAUGCCUAGCAGAGCAUCAAAACGGCUUGCUGGUAUUAAAGCUGAUACAUCUCUUAAGCUCCAAACAAAUGAUCAAACCCAGCUAACUUCAGUUAGACAGCAGGAGGGGACACAAGCUGCCACCUCCGAUAACCCUUUGAAUUUUACUAAUACCAGUAAGCAUGUUGCAAGUACAGUAACUGGUAUAACCAUCAACAAGAAGGUAGAAACUGGGAAUCUGACCAUUAAAAGGAAACAACAUCUUGUUACUUCACCACAAACGGAGGGAGAGAAGAAGCCUUCUCCAGCUGAACCUGCAAAAACUGUCCUUGCUAGCUGUGAUGUCGAUAAGAAAGGUGAAACAGCUCUUGAAUCAUCUUUAAGUGAUCUUUGGACGGACCCGUGCAUAGAAUUUGCUAUAAAAACUCUAACCGGUACAAUUCCAGUCAUAAACGAAAAGAAACUGGAUGAGAUCCCGGGUUCUAGUUCUAGCAAGCCCUCUGUUAAUACUCCUUCCUCUGUGGGCUUACCUUCUGAUGAAAUAUGGGCAGAUCCUUGCUUCAUGUUUGCUGUCAAGACUCUUACUGGUGAAAUACCGAUAGGGGAC
This 645-nucleotide unclassified non-coding RNA is filed under the name Hevea brasiliensis (rubber tree). Lineage: Eukaryota; Viridiplantae; Streptophyta; Magnoliopsida; Malpighiales; Euphorbiaceae. The record is from RNAcentral.